UACGUAGGGUGCGAGCGUUGUCCGGAAUUAUUGGGCGUAAAGAGCUUGUAGGCGGUUUGUCGCGUCUGCUGUGAAAAUCCGGGGCUCAACCCCGGACUUGCAGUGGGUACGGGCAGACUAGAGUGUGGUAGGGGAGACUGGAAUUCCUGGUGUAGCGGUGAAAUGCGCAGAUAUCAGGAGGAACACCAAUGGCGAAGGCAGGUCUCUGGGCAGUUACUGACGCUGAGGAGCGAAAGCAUGGGUAGCGAACAGGAUUAGAUACCCU
This 265-nucleotide ribosomal RNA is filed under the name uncultured prokaryote. RNAcentral's name for it is "partial 16S ribosomal RNA". It matches the Rfam family "Bacterial small subunit ribosomal RNA", at positions 524 to 788 of the family's 1533-position model. The record is from RNAcentral.